This 86-nucleotide transfer RNA is filed under the name Thermoleophilaceae bacterium. Its description in RNAcentral is "tRNA-Leu". It matches the Rfam family "tRNA". Rfam says of the family: Transfer RNA (tRNA) molecules are approximately 80 nucleotides in length. Their secondary structure includes four short double-helical elements and three loops (D, anti-codon, and T loops). Further hydrogen bonds mediate the characteristic L-shaped molecular structure. tRNAs have two regions of fundamental functional importance: the anti-codon, which is responsible for specific mRNA codon recognition, and the 3' end, to which the tRNAs corresponding amino acid is attached (by aminoacyl-tRNA synthetases). tRNAs cope with the degeneracy of the genetic code in two manners: having more than one tRNA (with a specific anti-codon) for a particular amino acid; and 'wobble' base-pairing, i.e. permitting non-standard base-pairing at the 3rd anti-codon position. The record is from RNAcentral. Lineage: Bacteria; Bacillati; Actinomycetota; Thermoleophilia; Thermoleophilales; Thermoleophilaceae.
GCCCGGGUGAUGGAACUGGUCAGACAUGGGGGACUUAAAAUCCCCUGCCCCUCGCGGGCGUGUGGGUUCGAUCCCCACCCCGGGCA